AUGCUUGCCACGGUGAGGAGCGAUGGCAAAAUUGGUAUCGCUACCGCUACGUCGGGCGUCGCCGCUUCUAUCAUGCCUGGAGGCAGGACUGCCCACUCGAGGUUCAAGAUCCCAUUGAGUUGCGAUGAUGGAGCCUCAUGCAGCUUCACGAAGCAGAGUGGGACCGCCAAGCUGCUUAGGAUGGCCUCAUUGAUAAUAUGGGACGAGGCCAGCAUGACGAAACGACAAGCGGUCGAGGCAUUGGACAAUAGCAUGCGCGACAUCAUGGGAAUACGCGACCGACCCUUUGGAGGAAAGACUGUUGUUUUUGGCGGGGACUUUAGGCAGGUGCUUCCGGUCGUCAGAAGGGGGUCGCGGGGCCAGAUAAUUGAUGCAACCCUACGAAGUUCUCAUCUAUGGAAGGGUAUGCGGCAGCUUCGGCUCAUCACCAACAUGAGGGCUCAUAAUGACACAUGGUUUGCAAAUUACUUGCUAAGGGUCGGCAAUGGCACUGAGGAAGUCGACGAUCAAGGCAACAUACUACCCCCUGAAGACAUUUGUCUCCCGUCUACAGGCGAGGUUGACGACCUGGAGAAGCUUAUUCACCACGUGUUUCCGAGUCUAGAUGACAACAUCUCUGAUUCAAAUUACAUGACAUCUCGAGCAAUCCUUUCCACGACAAACGACAAUGUCGACAAGAUAAACAUCCGCAUGAUAGAGCGUUUUCAGGGAGAUGAAGUAAUAUACCAUAGCUUUGACAGUGCGGAGGACGACCCAUAUGGCUACUACGCUCAAGAGUUUCUGAAUGGAUUGACUCCUAACGGUCUUCCUCCGCAUGCACUCAAGCUAAAGCUGAACUGCCCUGUCAUACUUCUAAGGAACAUUGAUCCAGCAAAUGGGUUGUGUAACGGCACUAGGCUUGUUGUUAGAGGUUUUGAGAGGAACACCAUUGAUGCAGAAAUCGUGAUUGGACAACACGAUGGCAGGAGGAUCUUCCUUCCUCGAAUACCUCUCUGCCCAUCUGAAAAUGACAUGUUUCCGUUCAAGUUUAAGAGGAAGCAAUUUCCUAUAAGGCUUAGCUUUGCUAUGACCAUUAACAAGGCUCAAGGGCAGACAAUCCCGAUUGUUGGUGUCUACCUACCCAAUCCCGUGUUCUCUCAUGGUCAACUCUAUGUUGCUUUGUCUCGAGCCACCGCAAAGAGAAACAUAAAGAUACUCAUUCAGAAGGAGAAGCCGAAGGAGAAGUCCAACAAGCAAAAGGACAAUCCAAAGAAGCGAAAAAGACCGACCGUGUCAUUACUGACCUCGAUGAAGAACAUCGUCUACAAGGAAGUCCUUACAGGCUAA
This 1326-nucleotide ribosomal RNA is filed under the name Triticum aestivum (bread wheat). Its description in RNAcentral is "partial small subunit ribosomal RNA". The record is from RNAcentral. Lineage: Eukaryota; Viridiplantae; Streptophyta; Magnoliopsida; Poales; Poaceae.